GUGACAGCAGCCGCGGUAAUACGUAGGGUGCGAGCGUUAAUCGGAAUUACUGGGCGUAAAGCGUGCGCAGGCGGUUCGUCGUGUCCGAUGUGAAAGCCCCGGGCUCAACCUGGGAAUGGCAUUGGAGGACUGGCGGGCUGGAGUGCGGCAGAGGGGGGUGGAAUUCCGCGUGUAGCAGUGAAAUGCGUAGAGAUGCGGAGGAACACCGAUGGCGAAGGCAGCCCCCUGGGCCGACACUGACGCUCAGGCACGAAAGCGUGGGGAGCAAACAGGAUUAGAUACCCGUGUAGUCC
This 293-nucleotide ribosomal RNA is filed under the name uncultured bacterium. Its description in RNAcentral is "partial 16S ribosomal RNA". It matches the Rfam family "Bacterial small subunit ribosomal RNA", at positions 505 to 796 of the family's 1533-position model. The record is from RNAcentral.